GAGUGGGAGGAAGGCAGGCUGGCAGCACAAGACCUCACAACCACAACUCCCAGACCCCACUACUGGUUCCACUGCUGGUCCUGAGCAGCAUUUUCUGCAGGGCUCAACAUGCUGCUGGUGGAAGGCUGAGAUGGGAGAUCAGCAGAGCUUCAUGACUGCCAGUAGCAAAUCCUGUAGAAAAAGCAAAGACAGAGUUGUUAAGGAUCAUCUUCUCAGAAUCAGGACUGGGAGUGGUGAGCCCUGGAGCUUCUUCCUCCUUUACCAGGUCUGCAGUGGAGACUAAUUCCUACAGCUGUGUGGAUUGUCAUCAGCCAUGCCCUGCACAGGAGCCAAACAUUACAGCCCUCUGUAAGACAACUUUUCAGACAGCUGCAUCUCACGUGGCCAUGAAAAUGGACCUGAUCUCACUGAAAGCUGGGUAAUGGGCUCUAAAAUCAUCAUUUCUUAUAUUGAAAAAUUGCUGGG
Molecule: long non-coding RNA, 465 nt
Filed under: Zonotrichia albicollis (white-throated sparrow)
Lineage: Eukaryota; Metazoa; Chordata; Aves; Passeriformes; Passerellidae
Description: lncRNA (ENSZALG00000007433.1)
Source: RNAcentral